This 608-nucleotide unclassified non-coding RNA is filed under the name Hevea brasiliensis (rubber tree). Lineage: Eukaryota; Viridiplantae; Streptophyta; Magnoliopsida; Malpighiales; Euphorbiaceae. The record is from RNAcentral.
GUUCCAUCUCUAUCUUUUCGCCCAACUGUUCAGUUGAUUAGGGUUUUUCUCUUUUGAUCCAUCAAAUCUUUUGGCGAACAGUUCAGAAUCCUACCGAUCAUGUCCUACGAGAAGCUCGACGGUUUGGCGAGGUGGUUUGGUACUAGUGUUGCAUCGGCGUUUUUCGCAUCCUUGGAACGAUGCUCGUGUGUGAAUCUCAACACUUCCGAAUCAGACGAUGAGGAAGAGGAAGAAGCUAAAGAGCGCCCUCUCAUGAUCUCCGCCCUCUCUUCUCACCUCGAUUCCUGCGCUGCCACCACUAAUCCUACCUCCGCUGAUAACCUCCCCGUUUGAUUAGAACUGGGAUCAUGCUGCAAAUUUGCUGAAGUGGUCCUUUGGCUCCAUCAGCAUGGGUUUCAUUCUUCUUCUCCAUCAACAGAGUGGAUUCACUCUGGUAUAAGUUGUAACGUUUUAGUAGACUUGUGAUAGGAUUGUAUAAAAGUGUGUUGUCUGUUAAAAGUGUCUUUGUAGUACAUUAAAUGCACUGGUAUGCAUUUUCCUUCUCCUUCACCUCAUCAUAUCGGAAGUUACGGUGACAGAAAUGCUAUUUAUAUUUCAAAAUAUCUACA